Molecule: long non-coding RNA, 1271 nt
Organism: Silurus meridionalis
Lineage: Eukaryota; Metazoa; Chordata; Actinopteri; Siluriformes; Siluridae
Exons: 4
Source: RefSeq, a predicted model, not a curated record
AAGUUUGUGUAUUAAAAUUAAAAGAGUCGUGUUGACAAAAUUUAAAAAUAGUAAGAUUUCAGUUUAACACAACUAAUUCAAGUAAAACGAAUGAAAUAGAGUUGUGUAGCUUCUGCAGUACCGCGCUUUGGUCAAGAGGUGGAGUAAUAUCCGCACAUGCGCAAAUGAAAACUUUUCUGCUCUGUUUUUGUUAGGCGCCAUUUAAUGGGAAUCAGUUUAAACAAAGUUCAGGUGCAAAAAGAGAAAACAAGGGAAGAUUUUUCCUUGUGGACACACAUCCAGGUGAGAUUUGACUUUUUUAUGUAUAUAUAUUGAGGAUGUCAUUAGGUAAGGUUGGUUAAUCGCGAAUAAUCUCAUGUUUUGUAUGAUAUUUUCAUGAUGUUACCGUGUUCUUCAUGUGGGUUUCACGUUCAUGUUAGUUACGGUCUUGUUUUCCGCUUUAAUUUAAUUUAUAUUUGUUAAAAUGUGAUUAUUUGAUUUUAUUAUUCGAUUCUUAUUAUUAGGGUAAUAUUAAUCUUUGCCAUUUUGUUUGUCUUUGUCUGGCAGGAGGACGGCAGUGAUCGGAUAUUAGUAGGCCAUUCCUAGAGACAAACGUAAUAGACAAGGGGCUAAAGGCUAGGGGCCAUGAGUUCUGAGCUGGUGCAUGGGGAGGAAUGCUGUUGUACAUCAGCCUCAAGUUCUCAGUGCGGGAGAGAAGAAGACAGACUCUUCUACACCGGCCCCAGUAGGCCGUACAGGUGGCUAGUUGUCCUGUCAGAGGAAGAGAAGGCAUCUGUUCUUGAGGACUGCCACAAAAACCCUGGACCUGGCAACCACUGUGGUGUCAGAGGCACUCAAACAGGGUUAUGGUUGUAUAUUAAUAAACAAAGGCAUAGACACAGAGGUUUGCAUACUGGACCGAAGAAUCAUCCCAACUCCUUCAGGGAACACUUGAGCCUGUCUUCAGAGUUUCAAAAUCCACUGCCACCAAACUGUUGCCCAGCAGAAGAGUUGUGUUUGAAACAGACAUUAAUAAAGUGCAGCAGCCAACUAUUCUGAGAGACGUGUAUACAGCGUGGAACUGCGUACAGUCACAGAGACUCAUUCUUAAGGGAGGUGACGGAGCUGGAUUUUUCUGCUAAUGAGUAAUGAUGACCAACAAAAUGCCCUCAAAAGAGUCCUGUGUGAUGAAUUCCUGUGGGAUGACUGUGGGAUGACUUUAUAUUUAUUUUUGAAUGUCAAGAGGACAUGGAAACAUGUUUGUCCUACUGCAUUGAUGAAAAAGGCUUGAA